This is a long non-coding RNA of Brassica rapa (field mustard), 2972 nucleotides long. RefSeq lists it as uncharacterized. The record is from RefSeq and is a predicted model, not a curated record. NCBI's taxonomy places the organism in Eukaryota, Viridiplantae, Streptophyta, Magnoliopsida, Brassicales, Brassicaceae.
CACUAAACUGUUGGGGGUGGAUUUACAUCCUCCCUCAAGGCCCAUUAGACAAUAAACUAGACCCAUUUUACUAUGAAGUCCUAGCUUCUUCUUUGUAUAAAUAGAGAUACAACUCUCUUUUUCAAGGAGAUCUUCUUUCCCAUUUUAGACCUAGAACACUUCUUACAAAGGGUUUAUAGAUUAUUAGAUUUAUUUACACUUGUAAUCCUACAUGUAAUACAAUCUUAAAUCAAUAAACUCUUUUGAUGUUCAUUUCACAUUUGAUUCUUUUAUGAUUUCUCCUAAACCUCAAGAAUCUAAGCUUUUAUCUUUAGAUUCUUUAUUUGAUUGAUUCCAACAAACAUCACAAAGAUAAACACCAUUUUUGGAUCAAACAAUUGGCGCUAGAAGGAGGGGGUUCAAGGAAAAAUAUCUUGAAAUCUAUCAAACUUGAGAGAAAAAGAAAAAAAAAAAAAUCUACAACGUCGUCUUGUUUCUUAGAAGUGACGAGUUUGACCAAUCUGAAAGUUUCAAACUUUGGAGGAUCUUUGGUAACAUCAACAGCCGAGCUUUAUGAGAAAGCUUCUCAGACCACUCGCUGGAUGUUUGGUGAAAGCUGGAGAUGGAGAUCUCAGACCGCUUCUCCCUCGUGCUCUCCUUGUCGGCGUCGAAGUCAGAUGCGUGGAGACGGCGAAGCGAGGAGAUGAUCAGUUCAUCGUCACUGCUUUUGGACCGUGGUCGUCGAGAUCUUCUAGACUUCUGUGACAGCGUCCACACCAUAAGAAACAAGACGAACGGACAGAGGAUCGGGAACAUGAACCUUCGUUGUUGCUUCAUAGCUUCUUGCCAACACACGGGUUUGGUUCUACGGAGCAAGAGAUAUGGGUCAAGGUUCGGAGCUUUCUUCAACCAACGAAAAAGCUUUGCUUUUGAUGUACACACCAAAGAGCCAAAGACCCUGACAGAGCUUGUCGUCUCGAUCCUCAUAGACGGCGCCGGUGAAGCUCGCCGUCUCAAUCCACCGGUGAAGCUUCCGUCUCAAUCCGCCGGUGAAGCUUUCGUCUCGAUCCGCCGGUGAAGCUCGCCGUCUCGUACUUCCACUCUUCAAGAUCGUAACAAACCUGUAAAUUGAUCUUAAGAAACUCACGGCCACGAUGAAAGAAGAUGAGUCUCAUAAAGCUUACUACUUUGAUUGAAGUAUCUGCUAAAGACAACAGAUUUUGUAAUUACCUCAACACAAGCUUGCCAUCUUUACGACAGUUGUUCUGUUCCUCCUCUCCUUUUGACAUUAAGCUGGGGGACUUGAUCAGCGAGAAUGGCGACAAGAUUCGAGGAGAACAAGAAGAAGCGCGGUCACUUUAGUGCUGGACACGGUCGCAUCGGGAAGCAUCGAUCUCAGCAACUCCCUCUCGGAUGGUUCAUGCCGGCGCGGAAACCUCUACGGAAGACAAGCUUGGCUUCGCUAGGAUCCUGGUAGAGAGUGUUCAUGUCUCUUGAACUCUCUGUUCCUGUCUCUCUCUCUCUCUAUGCUGCCAGCUCGCGGUUUUAGAGAUUUGGCUCCGUUCAUUACCGGUUCUCUGUUUCCUUUGCUCUGCUAGAGCUGCUAGUGAGAGCACUAGGUCUAGUUAUUACAGCCUUCACAUGGUUCAGGAAAGCUAGAGCUGAGAUGGGAGAGUAACAUCACUUUCUGGAAAAGCUUGGGACUUUAUCUUGGCAAAACUCAAGUCUCUAGCUCGCCGUCUCGUGCUCGCCAUCUCGUGCUCGUACCAUAACUCCACCAUCUUAUCCAAGAAGGAAACAGCUUCAGCAUCUCCCAAAGAAGAAAACAGAGGAACUUUGGAUAGACUACGACAAGUUCGGUCUCUCUUUAUGCUCAUCUCAUGAUCAUCAACACCAUCAACGCGCAUCCCCGAGCUUGACGUUGUCAAGAUCACGUCUUAGCCUCUUCGUUGGAUUCAGAUCACGUUAUCUUGGCAUUGAUUGGAGCUCCAGACUUGUUCUCAACAAACUCAAGGCUUGUUCCCCGCAAAGAUCAAAACGAUCCAUUGAGGCAGAGCUCACCACCAGAAGGCUGCUUGCGAGAUGUUGGAUCCUGCAGAGAUGAGGACGUGACAUUGGCUUGUCGACUAGAAGGCUCAAUCUUUCACACUCCAUCUGUGGAAAGAGCUCAUCAUGAGAUCAUCCUUCUUCAGCGACUAGCAGCAACUACUUGUCCUCAAAGAUAAGUAUUCUAUAAUCUUGAUUACUUUAUUGGUUGCAACCUGUGCAUGCUGUUUAGUUAUAAAUAAAUUACUAACAUCGUAUGCAAGAGCUGAGCAAUUAUCUGAUCAUCAUCAUUGCUUGCUUAUCAAUUACACAAAACUUUGAUUAUCUCUUUUGAAUAAACUUGAUCGGAUGAUAAUCAUCAUAUUUUUCUUUGUGCGCCAGGAUCAAUUGCAAGGCAGACAUAUGACGAGCUCAGACUCCGGUACAAGCUCUAGCUGACGUGAUCAAGGUCCGCACAACUCCUGCUGACUUCAUCGUCGCCAAUCACGAGCUCACCACUGCCCUCGCAACUCCACAGCGCGUUCAUCAACGUUAUCAUAGCCUGACAAGCAUACACGCCAAUAACUUGCUCGGCACACACGAUCUCAACACGAGACUUCGGGUCGGCAAUAGUUCGGUAAACAUGUAUUUUAGGCACGAGUUUAAAUUGAACUUGCUUUUUAUUAGGCACGAGUUUGUGGUCGACUCGCUUAUUGUUAGACACGAGUUUACAGAAACUCAUCUUUGGCUAGGCAUGAGUUUACAGAAGCUCUCCUUCUACUAGGCACGAGCUCUCAGUAAACUCGCCUCUGUCUUAGCAUGAGUCAAGUAAACUCGUCUUUCGCUAAGCACGAGUUUAAAGCAAACUCGCUUAUUACUAAGCACAAGUUCGAAAUAAACUCGCCUAAACCGUCAUAGGCAUGAAUAUGUCUAGUUCAUUGUCUAAUAAACCCUAUUCAUAAAGUUCG